This 496-nucleotide ribosomal RNA is filed under the name uncultured bacterium. RNAcentral describes it as "partial 16S ribosomal RNA". It matches the Rfam family "Bacterial small subunit ribosomal RNA", at positions 28 to 506 of the family's 1533-position model. The record is from RNAcentral.
GACGAACGCUGGCGGCGUGCCUAAUACAUGCAAGUUGAGCGCUGAAGGUUGGUACUUGUACCAACUGGAUGAGCAGCGCACGGGUGAGUAACGCGUGGGGCAUCUGCCUUUGAGCGGGGGACAACCUUUGGAAACGAAUGCUAAUACCGCAUAAAAACUUUAAACACAAGUUUUAAGUUUAAAAGAUGCCAUUGCAUCACUCAAAGAUGAUCCCGCGUUGUAUUAGCUAGUUGGUGAGGUAAAGGCUCACCAAGGCGAUGAUACAUAGCCGACCUGAGAGGGUGAUCGGCGACAUUGGGACUGAGACACGGCCCAAAGUCCUACGGGAGGCAGCAGUAGGGAAUCUGCGGCAAUGGACGAAAGUCUGACCGAGCAACGCCGCGUGAGUGAAGAAGGUGUUCGGAUCGUAAAACUCUGUUGGUAGAGAAGAACGGUGGUGAGAGUGGAAAGCGCAUCAAGUGACGGUAACUACCCAGAAAGGGACGGCUAACUACGU